This 483-nucleotide ribosomal RNA is filed under the name uncultured bacterium. RNAcentral's name for it is "bacterial SSU rRNA". It matches the Rfam family "Bacterial small subunit ribosomal RNA", at positions 8 to 518 of the family's 1533-position model. The record is from RNAcentral.
AGAGUUUGAUUAUGGCUCAGAACGAACGCUGGCGGCAUGGAUUAGGCAUGCAAGUCGAACGGUGUAGCAAUACACAGUGGCGGAAGGGUGAGGAACACGUGAAUAAUCUGUCCUCAAGUUGGGAAUAACUUUCCGAAAGGAAAGCUAAUACCGAAUGUGGUUGUUUUAUCGCAUGAUAGGACAACUAAAGAUUUAUCGCUUGAGGAUGAGUUCGCGUCCCAUUAGCUAGUUGGCGGGUAACGGCCCACCAAGGCAGAGAUGGGUAGCUGGUCUGAGAGGAUGAUCAGCCACACUGGGACUGAGACACUGCCCAGACUCCUACGGGAGGCUGCAGUCGAGAAUCUUUUGCAAUGCGCGAAAGCGUGAACCAAAGCAAUGCCGCGUGCCGGAUGAAGGUCUUCGGAUUGUAAACGGCUGUCACUCGGGACGAAAAAUGACGGUACCGAGGGAGGAAGCCACGGCUAACUACGUGCCAGCAGCCGC